Molecule: ribosomal RNA, 1416 nt
Filed under: Salmonella enterica subsp. enterica serovar Montevideo
Lineage: Bacteria; Pseudomonadati; Pseudomonadota; Gammaproteobacteria; Enterobacterales; Enterobacteriaceae
Description: bacterial SSU rRNA
Rfam family: Bacterial small subunit ribosomal RNA
Source: RNAcentral
GAGUAAUGUCUGGGAAACUGCCUGAUGGAGGGGGAUAACUACUGGAAACGGUGGCUAAUACCGCAUAACGUCGCAAGACCAAAGAGGGGGACCUUCGGGCCUCUUGCCAUCAGAUGUGCCCAGAUGGGAUUAGCUUGUUGGUGAGGUAACGGCUCACCAAGGCGACGAUCCCUAGCUGGUCUGAGAGGAUGACCAGCCACACUGGAACUGAGACACGGUCCAGACUCCUACGGGAGGCAGCAGUGGGGAAUAUUGCACAAUGGGCGCAAGCCUGAUGCAGCCAUGCCGCGUGUAUGAAGAAGGCCUUCGGGUUGUAAAGUACUUUCAGCGGGGAGGAAGGUGUUGUGGUUAAUAACCGCAGCAAUUGACGUUACCCGCAGAAGAAGCACCGGCUAACUCCGUGCCAGCAGCCGCGGUAAUACGGAGGGUGCAAGCGUUAAUCGGAAUUACUGGGCGUAAAGCGCACGCAGGCGGUCUGUCAAGUCGGAUGUGAAAUCCCCGGGCUCAACCUGGGAACUGCAUUCGAAACUGGCAGGCUUGAGUCUUGUAGAGGGGGGUAGAAUUCCAGGUGUAGCGGUGAAAUGCGUAGAGAUCUGGAGGAAUACCGGUGGCGAAGGCGGCCCCCUGGACAAAGACUGACGCUCAGGUGCGAAAGCGUGGGGAGCAAACAGGAUUAGAUACCCUGGUAGUCCACGCCGUAAACGAUGUCUACUUGGAGGUUGUGCCCUUGAGGCGUGGCUUCCGGAGCUAACGCGUUAAGUAGACCGCCUGGGGAGUACGGCCGCAAGGUUAAAACUCAAAUGAAUUGACGGGGGCCCGCACAAGCGGUGGAGCAUGUGGUUUAAUUCGAUGCAACGCGAAGAACCUUACCUGGUCUUGACAUCCACGGAACUUUCCAGAGAUGGAUUGGUGCCUUCGGGAACCGUGAGACAGGUGCUGCAUGGCUGUCGUCAGCUCGUGUUGUGAAAUGUUGGGUUAAGUCCCGCAACGAGCGCAACCCUUAUCCUUUGUUGCCAGCGGUCCGGCCGGGAACUCAAAGGAGACUGCCAGUGAUAAACUGGAGGAAGGUGGGGAUGACGUCAAGUCAUCAUGGCCCUUACGACCAGGGCUACACACGUGCUACAAUGGCGCAUACAAAGAGAAGCGACCUCGCGAGAGCAAGCGGACCUCAUAAAGUGCGUCGUAGUCCGGAUUGGAGUCUGCAACUCGACUCCAUGAAGUCGGAAUCGCUAGUAAUCGUGGAUCAGAAUGCCACGGUGAAUACGUUCCCGGGCCUUGUACACACCGCCCGUCACACCAUGGGAGUGGGUUGCAAAAGAAGUAGGUAGCUUAACCUUCGGGAGGGCGCUUACCACUUUGUGAUUCAUGACUGGGGUGAAGUCGUAACAAGGUAACCGUAGGGGAACCUGCGGUUGG